AACGAACGCUGGCGGCAUGCCUAACACAUGCAAGUCGAACGAGACCUUCGGGUCUAGUGGCGCACGGGUGCGUAACGCGUGGGAACCUGCCCUUAGGUUCGGAAUAACUCCCCGAAAGGGGUGCUAAUACCGGUUAAUGUCUUCGGACCAAAGAUUUAUCGCCUUUGGAUGGGCCCGCGUUGGAUUAGCUAGUUGGUAGGGUAAAAGCCUAGCAAGGCGACGAUCCAUAGCUGGUCUGAGAGGAUGAUCAGCCACACUGGGACUGAGACACGGCCCAGACUCCUACGGGAGGCAGCAGUGGGGAAUAUUGGACAAUGGGCGAAAGCCUGAUCCAGCAAUGCCGCGUGAGUGAUGAAGGCCUUAGGGUUGUAAAGCUCUUUUACCCGGGAUGAUAAUGACAGUACCGGGAGAAUAAGCUCCGGCUAACUCCGUG
This 433-nucleotide ribosomal RNA is filed under the name uncultured bacterium. RNAcentral's name for it is "partial 16S ribosomal RNA". It matches the Rfam family "Bacterial small subunit ribosomal RNA", at positions 29 to 507 of the family's 1533-position model. The record is from RNAcentral.